RNAcentral lists this non-coding RNA (158 nucleotides) under Blumeria hordei DH14. RNAcentral's name for it is "Blumeria graminis f. sp. hordei DH14 Eukaryotic large subunit ribosomal RNA". It matches the Rfam family "Eukaryotic large subunit ribosomal RNA", at positions 3244 to 3401 of the family's 3401-position model. The record is from Rfam by way of RNAcentral. Lineage: Eukaryota; Fungi; Ascomycota; Leotiomycetes; Helotiales; Erysiphaceae.
GGGAGAAGUCCACUGUUUCAGCUGACGCCUUGCAAUUUUACCAUGCGCGGGGAUAAAACCUUUGCAUACGACUUAGUUAUAUCAGACGGUGCUGUAAAUAGUAGAGUAGUCUUGUUAUUACGAUCUAUUGAGGCUAAGCCGCGCUGAUUUAGUUUUGU